GAUCAUGGCUCAGGAUGAACGCUAGCGACAGGCCUAACACAUGCAAGUCGAGGGGCAGCGCGGAGUAGCAAUACGUUGGCGGCGACCGGCGCACGGGUGAGUAACACGUAUGCAACCAACCCAUAACAGGGGGAUAACCCGGAGAAAUCCGGACUAAUACCGCAUAAGACCACGAUAUCGCAUGAUAUAGAGGUCAAAUAUUUAUAGGUUAUGGACGGCAUGCGUCUGAUUAGCUGGUUGGCGGGUAACGGCCCACCAAGGCAUCGAUCAGUAGGGUUCUGAGAGGAAGGUCCCCCACAUUGGAACUGAAACACGGUCCAAACUCCUACGGGAGGCAGCAGUGAGGAAUAUUGGUCAAUGGGCGAAAGCCUGAACCAGCCAUGUCGCGUGGAAAAGGAUGAAGGUCCUAUGGAUUGUAAACUUCUUUUGCAGGAGGGUAAAGUGAGCUACGUGUAGUUCAUUGCAAGUACCCUGCGAAUAAGCAUCGGCUAACUCCGUGCCAGCCGCCGC
This 510-nucleotide ribosomal RNA is filed under the name uncultured bacterium. Its description in RNAcentral is "bacterial SSU rRNA". It matches the Rfam family "Bacterial small subunit ribosomal RNA", at positions 15 to 518 of the family's 1533-position model. The record is from RNAcentral.